GCCGAUGUGGUGGAAUUGGUAGACACGCUGUCUUGAGGGGGCAGUGGGAUCACUCCCGUGCCAGUUCGAGUCUGGCCAUCGGCACCA
Molecule: transfer RNA, 87 nt
Filed under: Betaproteobacteria bacterium
Lineage: Bacteria; Pseudomonadati; Pseudomonadota; Betaproteobacteria
Description: tRNA-Leu
Rfam family: tRNA
About the family: Transfer RNA (tRNA) molecules are approximately 80 nucleotides in length. Their secondary structure includes four short double-helical elements and three loops (D, anti-codon, and T loops). Further hydrogen bonds mediate the characteristic L-shaped molecular structure. tRNAs have two regions of fundamental functional importance: the anti-codon, which is responsible for specific mRNA codon recognition, and the 3' end, to which the tRNAs corresponding amino acid is attached (by aminoacyl-tRNA synthetases). tRNAs cope with the degeneracy of the genetic code in two manners: having more than one tRNA (with a specific anti-codon) for a particular amino acid; and 'wobble' base-pairing, i.e. permitting non-standard base-pairing at the 3rd anti-codon position.
Source: RNAcentral